This 262-nucleotide ribosomal RNA is filed under the name uncultured archaeon. Its description in RNAcentral is "partial 16S ribosomal RNA". It matches the Rfam family "Archaeal small subunit ribosomal RNA", at positions 748 to 1009 of the family's 1478-position model. The record is from RNAcentral.
AGGGUGUAAACGCUGCCGACUUGGUGUUGGAGGCCCUUCGGGGGCAUUCAGUGCCGGAGAGAAGUUGUUAAGUCGGCCACUUGGGGAGUACGUCCGCAAGGAUGAAACUUAAAGGAAUUGGCGGGGGAGCACCGCAACGGGAGGAGCGUGCGGUUUAAUUGGAUUCAACACCGGAAAACUCACCAAGGGCGACUGUUACAUGAAAGCCAGGCUAAUGACCUUGCUUGAUUUUCAGAGAGGUGGUGCAUGGCGUAGACGUGUU